This 676-nucleotide long non-coding RNA is filed under the name Gallus gallus (chicken). Its description in RNAcentral is "lncRNA (ENSGALG00010022563.1)". Lineage: Eukaryota; Metazoa; Chordata; Aves; Galliformes; Phasianidae. The record is from RNAcentral.
AGGAAAUCGAGUUCACCAACAAGUGUCUUCAUCCUGCUCUGGAGCAGAAGAAAACCGUGAUUACCUGGCAGCCAUUAGUUUACCUGUAGUGGGAGGAGGGAGCCCAGGGAAGAGGAGGGAUGAGCAGAGGCUGGCACAUGGGGAGCUGUGCCUGCUGACCCCUGGCACGGGACCUAACUGCUGCAGAGCCCCAUCGCUCCACAGCAUCGCUCCUAACUUUUGUCAUGCUGCAAUGAAGCAUCCCUGGAGUUCUGCAAUGGUUCCUAUGUGGCUGGAGUGGCUUUCUUAUUUCAACCUCUUGAGCAUCGAUUGUUGAGUCGCUUCCUCAUCAUUAAAAGCUCGUCAGGGACAAGCUCUGGAGUUCAGAAGCUCUGUGCAGUCACCACGGCCUUCGGAUGCCCCAAGGGCACCAGCAGAGAGGAACGAGUGUGGCGAGAGCGCAGGCAGCUGUGAGCACACUGCAAUGUCAUUGCUGGCUUUGCUGAUCUCAUGUACUCCUCCACCAUAAAAAGCUGCUCGCAGUUACAGUGAUGUUUCUAGAAGGUGAGUAUAUGUAUGUCAGGAGAAAAAAUAACACUUGCAUUGAAGGAUGAUUUAAGAUUAUUCUUCCACACUUCUGUAUAAGAUUGGAUCUAUUGUAACCUUCCUAAACCUUUGUUACCUUUGUAAUUUAAAC